Molecule: ribosomal RNA, 497 nt
Filed under: uncultured bacterium
Lineage: Bacteria
Description: bacterial SSU rRNA
Rfam family: Bacterial small subunit ribosomal RNA
Source: RNAcentral
AUCCUGGCUCAGAUUGAACGCUGGCGGCAUGCCUUACACAUGCAAGUCGAAACGGCAGCACGGGAGCAAUCCUGGUGGCGAGUGGCGAACGGGUGAGUAAUAUAUCGGAACGUGCCCGGUCGUGGGGGAUAACGUAGCGAAAGCUACGCUAAUACCGCAUACGAUCUACGGAUGAAAGCGGGGGAUCGCAAGACCUCGCGCGAUUGGAGCGGCCGAUAUCAGAUUAGGUAGUUGGUGAGGUAAAGGCUCACCAAGCCGACGAUCUGUAGCUGGUCUGAGAGGACGACCAGCCACACUGGGACUGAGACACGGCCCAGACUCCUACGGGAGGCAGCAGUGGGGAAUUUUGGACAAUGGGCGAAAGCCUGAUCCAGCCAUGCCGCGUGUGUGAAGAAGGUCUUCGGAUUGUAAAGCACUUUAAGUUGGGAGGAAGGGUAGUAACCUAAUACGUUGCUACUUUGACGUUACCGACAGAAUAAGCACCGGCUAACUUCGUG